This 64-nucleotide transfer RNA is filed under the name Ramisyllis multicaudata. RNAcentral describes it as "tRNA-Ser". Lineage: Eukaryota; Metazoa; Annelida; Polychaeta; Phyllodocida; Syllidae. The record is from RNAcentral.
AAUUCCUGUGGCUCUUCUUUGAUCUUGAAAAUCAAUAAUAAACGUUAAACUCGUUUAGGAAUUA